GUCUACGGCCAUACCACCUGAACACGCCCGAUCUCGUCUGAUCUCGGAAAAUACAUCAGGUAGUGACAAGCCCUCCGGUGAAGAUU
Molecule: ribosomal RNA, 86 nt
Filed under: Myotis lucifugus (little brown bat)
Lineage: Eukaryota; Metazoa; Chordata; Mammalia; Chiroptera; Vespertilionidae
Source: RNAcentral